Molecule: long non-coding RNA, 204 nt
Organism: Asterias rubens (European starfish)
Lineage: Eukaryota; Metazoa; Echinodermata; Asteroidea; Forcipulatida; Asteriidae
Exons: 3
Source: RefSeq, a predicted model, not a curated record
UACACGUUUUGUUGAAAAAGCUGGUACGUUUCGUCUGCUGUCUGCCAACCACUAAGCCUGUCUAUUAUUUAAUCCAUUAAUAUGGCUGGAAAGCCCAUUUUGUAUUCUUACUAUCGAAGCUCCUGCUCUUGGCGAGUGAGGAUUGCAUUGGCAUUGAAAGGAAUCGAACAUGAAUAUUCAGCGGUGAAUCUGUUAAAAUCCGAG